Molecule: ribosomal RNA, 557 nt
Filed under: uncultured bacterium
Lineage: Bacteria
Description: bacterial SSU rRNA
Rfam family: Bacterial small subunit ribosomal RNA
Source: RNAcentral
ACGGGUGAGUAACGCGUGGGAAUCUACCGUACCCUACGGAAUAGCUCUGGGAAACUGGAAGUAAUACCGUAUACGCCCUUUGGGGGAAAGAUUUAUCGGGGUAUGAUGAGCCCGCGUUGGAUUAGCUAGUUGGUGGGGUAAAGGCCUACCAAGGCGACGAUCCAUAGCUGGUCUGAGAGGAUGAUCAGCCACAUUGGGACUGAGACACGGCCCAAACUCCUACGGGAGGCAGCAGUGGGGAAUAUUGGACAAUGGGCGCAAGCCUGAUCCAGCCAUGCCGCGUGAGUGAUGAAGGUCUUAGGAUUGUAAAGCUCUUUCACCGGAGAAGAUAAUGACGGUAUCCGGAGAAGAAGCCCCGGCUAACUUCGUGCCAGCAGCCGCGGUAAUACGAAGGGGGCUAGCGUUGUUCGGAAUUACUGGGCGUAAAGCGCACGUAGGCGGGUAUUUAAGUCAGGGGUGAAAUCCCAGAGCUCAACUCUGGAACUGCCUUUGAUACUGGGUAUCUUGAGUAUGGAAGAGGUAAGUGGAAUUGCGAGUGUAGAGGUGAAAUUCGUAGA